CACCAUAUGUAGAUCUGGCUGGGAGCCCCGCCGUCGACGAGGGCCACACCGGCGAUCUCGCGCAACCUACCUGCCUCCUGUUUCCUCUCCGUUCUCCUCCUUCUCUCUCCGAUCCUUGUUCAUCCGCGGCCGCCCGAGCUCGCCACGAUUCAUGGCCCUCUCCUUCUGCCAACUCUGGUCCGUCGCCGGUCGUCUGUGGCACGAGCGUCGCGCCUCCUCCUCGACCUCCUCGAUCCGCGAUGCCCUGACUGCACUACACACGUGCGCCUCGCAAUCCAUGACCGCCUUUUGCCGAGCUGCGGGAUCGACGUCUGACCACCACCAUGACCGGCCUCUUGCGAAGGUCCCGGUCGCAGUCUCCUAUGCCUUUGGACCUUGGGAGCGACUGGGUGAUUAUAUGCCAGACGCCAAAAGCAAUAUUGCAACACCAUGCGUGAGGAACAUGAUUCUGCCAGUAUUUAAGCAGUAUACUUGCUAACACUGAGAGCUUAAUUAUCUUUGAUGCAACCAGUCCGUCCAAGCAUCCAAAUAGUUGAUUUGGGAUGUAGAGAUUAAAGAACAGUAGGACGUCAGGUUCAGAAUUGCCUUGGCAUCUUCCAGUGUGGGACGAUGUUGAUUGUCGGGAUUUGAAGAUAUGUGUGCCCCCAUACCGUGGUUGAGCCUGUCGGUUUCGCACAGUGGCUGCACGACACCUCAUGGACCCGAUGUGAAGGACAAGUAAGCCAUCCACACGAAGUCGGCGGCAGCAAGGGUGUGGGGCGUCGGGAGGAGCAUCUGGGUUGAAGGUUCUGGCCCUCGCCAUUGAGACUACCGUGUUCGUCGCCGAGUACAUCUGGUCAAGAACAAUUGAUUUUAUCGGCAACAGGAGGCGCUUAUCAGUCGCCAUCAAGUGCCUCAACCAGUGCGGCGUCCAGCAUGUUUGGGCUGGGGAGACAGAGAUGGUAUGCGGAGUAAGAAGAGUGAUUUAAGGGGAGAGAAAUCAUAACAGGGGUUGGUGGAGCAGAAGAGGGCGAAGGAAGACUUGUGGGGAGCUGCGAGGAAUAGAUUUUGGGAUUUGUUUCCUUAUAGGAUAUCCUGCCGAUUUGAUCUAUUUUUGGCUAGAGCACAUGGGAUCAAACCAGAGGUAAUCAAUUUUCUAUGUUCACCUGAUUAGUUAUAAGGAAUUUAUUACCUCUGUUUUAUUUCCAGGAUACCCAAACCAGUGGUAACGUUUUUUAUGGCUUUGAAAUUCUGUACAAGGUAAUUACUUGUGGUUUCAAGGUUGCGCAAAGGAGAGGAGGCAUGGUUCAAGGUCGUCUUCUGGCACUGGUUUGCCAGCUAGGUCCUCGACAACAUCUGCGCCUCAUAGGGCAGAUAUUCCACCGUGCAUUGUAUUUGACCAUACUUAACCAAGUUGAUUCAUAUCAAUAAGUAUCUUUUGGUUUUCUUCCAGUUUAUUAGGCAUGGUCCCAGACACAAAUUCUGAAGCUUCAAUAAUUUGGGUGGUCUAAUAGUUCCUGUAUAGCUUGAUGUUGUAUCAGGUGUAAUAUUUUGUUGUUGCUUGAUGUUGAAUCAAGACAAGCUAGGGUCAACAAGGAACAGAGGGGUUGACACAUGGAGAAGCGGGAGCAUAAAAUUCAAAAGGUAUUGAACAUGUGUAUGGAUUACAUUGGUGAGUGAAUGGUGUGGCACAUUGAGUCAGAGAGGAGUAGUUGCUUGUCUGGUAUGAAAAACAGUUGUUUCUCGAUUAGAUUAAGGCGAAACUUAUCUUCAACAUGUGUGGUCUUUCAUCACCAUUUCAAAAGAGGUUCAAUGCAAAAUCCUCAGACUGCCAAUUUUUACUUCA
Molecule: non-coding RNA, 1825 nt
Organism: Triticum urartu
Lineage: Eukaryota; Viridiplantae; Streptophyta; Magnoliopsida; Poales; Poaceae
Source: RefSeq, a predicted model, not a curated record